AAGUCGUAACAAGGUUUCCAGUAGGUGGAACCUGCAGGAAGAUCCAAUUGGAAGAAUAUGCGAGGCUUCACAGCUCUUAUUCUCACCCUUUGUAUAUCAAACUUUGUUGCUUUGGCAGCGCCUUAGGGCCUGCCAGAGGACCGAAACCCUAGAAUCUCUGCCGUCUGAGUACUAUAUAAUAGUUAAAA
RNAcentral lists this unclassified non-coding RNA (188 nucleotides) under plant metagenome. Its description in RNAcentral is "partial contains small subunit ribosomal RNA and internal transcribed spacer 1". The record is from RNAcentral.